Molecule: non-coding RNA, 29 nt
Filed under: Rattus norvegicus (Norway rat)
Lineage: Eukaryota; Metazoa; Chordata; Mammalia; Rodentia; Muridae
Source: RNAcentral
UCUCUAUUGAGGAUGAUCAAGUGUGGUAG